RNAcentral lists this ribosomal RNA (129 nucleotides) under Chinchilla lanigera (long-tailed chinchilla). Lineage: Eukaryota; Metazoa; Chordata; Mammalia; Rodentia; Chinchillidae. The record is from RNAcentral.
GUCUACGGCCAUACCACUCUGAACAUGCCUGAUCUCGUCUGGUCUCGGAAGCUAAGCAGGAUCAGGUCUGGUUAGUACCGGGAUGGGAGACAAUGAAAACCUAAUAUGAGAUUCAGACAUCCCUGCUCA